Molecule: non-coding RNA, 21 nt
Organism: Caenorhabditis elegans
Lineage: Eukaryota; Metazoa; Nematoda; Chromadorea; Rhabditida; Rhabditidae
Source: Ensembl
UGUUCUGAUAGGUAACGUGUA